CGGGAGAUUGAGAGCGGCGUACGGGUGCGGAACACGUGUGCAACCUGCCUUUAUCAGGGGGAUAGCCUUUCGAAAGGAAGAUUAAUACCCCAUAAUAUAUCGAUUGGCAUCAUUUGAUAUUGAAAACUGAGGUGGAUAGAGAUGGGCACGCGCAAGAUUAGAUAGUUGGUAGGGUAACGGCCUACCAAGUCUGCGAUCUUUAGGGGGCCUGAGAGGGUGAUCCCCCACACUGGUACUGAGACACGGACCAGACUCCUACGGGAGGCAGCAGUGAGGAAUAUUGGACAAUGGGUGAGAGCCUGAUCCAGCCAUCCCGCGUGAAGGAUUAAGGUCCUAUGGAUUGUAAACUUCUUUUGUAUAGGGAUAAACCUAGAUACGUGUAUCUAGCUGAAGGUACUAUACGAAUAAGCACCGGCUAACUCCGUGCCAGCAGCCGCGGUAAUACGGAGGGUGCAAGCGUUAUCCGGAUUUAUUGGGUUUAAAGGGUCCGUAGGCUGAUCUGUAAGUCAGUGGUGAAAUCUCACAGCUCAACUGUGAAACUGCCAUUGAUACUGCAGGUCUUGAGUGUUGUUGAAGUAGCUGGAAUAAGUAGUGUAGCGGUGAAAUGCAUAGAUAUUACUUAGAACACCAAUUGCGAAGGCAGGUUACUAAGCAACAACUGACGCUGAUGGACGAAAGCGUGGGGAGCGAACAGGAUUAGAUACCCUGGUAGUCCACGCCGUAAACGAUGCUAACUCGUUUUUGGAGCG
Molecule: ribosomal RNA, 749 nt
Filed under: Chryseobacterium sp.
Lineage: Bacteria; Pseudomonadati; Bacteroidota; Flavobacteriia; Flavobacteriales; Weeksellaceae
Description: bacterial SSU rRNA
Rfam family: Bacterial small subunit ribosomal RNA
Source: RNAcentral